Molecule: ribosomal RNA, 253 nt
Filed under: uncultured bacterium
Lineage: Bacteria
Description: partial 16S ribosomal RNA
Rfam family: Bacterial small subunit ribosomal RNA
Source: RNAcentral
UACGUAGGGCGCAAGCGUUGUCCGGAAUUAUUGGGCGUAAAGAGCUCGUAGGCGGUCUGUCACGUCGGUUGUGAAAACCCAAGGCUCAACCUUGGGCCUGCAAUCGAUACGGGCAGACUAGAGUACUGCAGGGGAGACUGGAAUUCCUGGUGUAGCGGUGGAAUGCGCAGAUAUCAGGAGGAACACCGGUGGCGAAGGCGGGUCUCUGGGCAGUAACUGACGCUGAGGAGCGAAAGCGUGGGGAGCAAACAGG